Molecule: long non-coding RNA, 565 nt
Organism: Scomber scombrus (Atlantic mackerel)
Lineage: Eukaryota; Metazoa; Chordata; Actinopteri; Scombriformes; Scombridae
Exons: 3
Source: RefSeq, a predicted model, not a curated record
UAGACUUGUGUUUGAGUUUGUACAUUUGAAUCGUUUCUGUACUUGAAGCUGUUUUCCUUAACGGAGACGCGUUUCGCCGUUGCAGUGCGUUUGGCCCUUGUCCGCCACCGUAUAAUUCAGUUUUACUUGACCACAACAAUUUGACCUGACCAUGACUACAGAUUAUUUCGUAAUAUGUUUGUCAGUGUCAUUGCACUUUAGGGCUGUAUCAGUGUGGGAGGCAAUGAGUAGAAGGCACCUCCAGUGGAAGUCCUGACUGUGCCUAGGUACAGUCUGGAGGACUGGGUGCUGUACUUCUGAAAUAUUCACCCGAAUCCAGUGGAAUAUUUGCCCUGACGCUACGUGUCCACCUACAGUGCUUCAGCCCUUCUGGGAGAGAGAUAUCCUCCUCAGAUUCUCCAAGCCCUUCUACAAACUCCUCAUAUGUAGAAUUUUCUUGAAAGGGACGCUGUCCCAGCAGUUCUACCAUGUCGGCUUUGUCUAGAAUCUCUCUUUCUAGAAGACGUUUUGCUACCUGCAACACAUGAUCAAUAAUAAUAAACAAACAAUAAUUACCAUGAUCAUA